AAGAAAGAAAGAAAGAAAGAAAGAAAGAAAGAAAGAAAGAAAGAGGAAAAAAGGAACAGGGAUGCGGUGUGGACUCUGUAUUAGCUGCUUAAUUUUGAUUAACCCUAAAAUGGCUCUACAAAAGAAAAUCUAUUAAUGAAAACGUUAAUAUAAUAUGGCAACUCUUAAAAUCAGUUUUUCCGUCUCAGUUCCCCGGUCUGUUGUUGUUUUUUUACAGUCUUUUCUAAACUAAUUCUGUAGUCUCUGUUCUCUGUUCUCUGUGGCCUCUGAAGUUUGGGCCUGGUUAGCUUAGGGGUCAGUUAAUCAUUAGACAGAAACUUCCCUGAAAGCCUUGAGCCAAUGUCUGCUACUCUCACCAGGGGCUCUGAGUGUACAGUGAGGCACACCUGCAGGGCUCCGGCAGUUUGCACCUCUGCCUUAACCUUGACUUCCUGUUUGCAGAAGUCCUCAAAGUCACCUCCAGACAAAGAAGGAAAGGCGAACUCCAGAAAAAGGAACGGACAGUGACUGCCACCAGAGGCAGGUCAGCCUCAGGAGCGCCAGCAGCAGUGAAUACAACAAGGAAUGUAAAAGCACUGAAAACUGAAAAUCGCAAUACAAAUAAAUCGUUUUAUUGUGUUUCGAAUAAAAAUCACAAUACUAA
Molecule: non-coding RNA, 643 nt
Organism: Callithrix jacchus (white-tufted-ear marmoset)
Lineage: Eukaryota; Metazoa; Chordata; Mammalia; Primates; Cebidae
Source: RefSeq, a predicted model, not a curated record